GGGGUAAGAUGAAUUCGAAUGGAAGCUUCUAACUUCUGAUUCAAGCGGUUUAAGUCCGUUUUUACACCU
This 69-nucleotide transfer RNA is filed under the name Typhlatya garciai. Its description in RNAcentral is "tRNA-Ser". The record is from RNAcentral. Lineage: Eukaryota; Metazoa; Arthropoda; Malacostraca; Decapoda; Atyidae.